AAUAGAUGACGCCGUUAACUUUUUUUUACAUGUUUGACCAUUCGUCUUAUUUAAAAAAUUUACGUAAUUAUAAUUUAUUUUGUUAUGAGUUGUUUUAUCACUCAUAGUUCUUUAAGUGUGAUUUAUAUCUUAUAUAUUUGUAUAAAAUUUUUUAAAUAAGACGAAUGGUCAAACAUAUGAGAAAAAGUCAACGACGUCACCUAUU
RNAcentral lists this microRNA precursor (205 nucleotides) under Oryza sativa Indica Group (long-grained rice). RNAcentral describes it as "MIR812 microRNA precursor family". It matches the Rfam family "MIR812 microRNA precursor family". The record is from Rfam by way of RNAcentral. Lineage: Eukaryota; Viridiplantae; Streptophyta; Magnoliopsida; Poales; Poaceae.